UAACAGAUGGCUGCCACACAACCUC
This 25-nucleotide non-coding RNA is filed under the name Rattus norvegicus (Norway rat). The record is from RNAcentral. Lineage: Eukaryota; Metazoa; Chordata; Mammalia; Rodentia; Muridae.